CAGCCGCCACGGUAAUACGUAGGGCGCAAGCGUUAAUCGGAAUUACUGGGCGUAAAGCGUGCGCAGGCGGUUCGCUAAGACAGGUGUGAAAUCCCCGGGCUUAACCUGGGAACUGCGCUUGUGACUGCACAGCUAGAGUAUGGCAGAGGGGGGUGGAAUUCCAUGUGUAGCGGUGAAAUGCGCAGAGAUAUGGAGGAACACCAGUGGCGAAGGCGGCGACCUGGACAAGUACUGACACUCAACUACGAAAGCGUGGGGAGCAAACAGGAUUAGAUACCCGCGUAGUCCCUGUCUCUUAUAC
This 301-nucleotide ribosomal RNA is filed under the name uncultured bacterium. RNAcentral's name for it is "partial 16S ribosomal RNA". It matches the Rfam family "Bacterial small subunit ribosomal RNA", at positions 509 to 807 of the family's 1533-position model. The record is from RNAcentral.